Molecule: ribosomal RNA, 59 nt
Filed under: Ponticulomyces orientalis
Lineage: Eukaryota; Fungi; Basidiomycota; Agaricomycetes; Agaricales; Physalacriaceae
Description: partial 25S ribosomal RNA
Source: RNAcentral
UUCACUGAGACAAUCUUAACUGACUAUUUGACCUCAAAUCAGGUAGGACUACCCGCUGA